CCAGGGGGUCCAGACUUGUCGGCCGAAGUUCAGUUGGAGUUCGAUCUCCGUAGAAGCCCGGAUGGGGAUCAUUUGUCGAGAAAUCUCGGUCGAGACCUGCAACAGAAGUUUAGGAUGGAAGUCUGGCUCCCGUGGGAGCCCGGAUGAAGUUUACCUGCAGUUGAAGUCGGGGACGAAGUCCAGCUCCCGUAGGAGUCCGGGCGAAGUCUACCUGCAGUUGAAGUCGGGGAUGAAGUCCGGACGAAGUCUUCCCACAGUUGAAGUCGGAGACGAAGUCCGGCUCCCGUAGG
This 290-nucleotide long non-coding RNA is filed under the name Elaeis guineensis (African oil palm). Its description in RNAcentral is "long non-coding RNA (EGUI_LNC071472)". The record is from RNAcentral. Lineage: Eukaryota; Viridiplantae; Streptophyta; Magnoliopsida; Arecales; Arecaceae.